AUCGUGUCAAAAAUGACUGCUACACUACUGUUGGCACAAAAUCGCUUGCAAGAGUUGUUGAGGAAAAGAAAAGGAAAGAAGAUGUCGAGCUUUCAGAGAUAGACAUGUUUGAGUUAAGUCGAAAGUCAAAGAAGUAAUGGGGGCUGGUAAAUGACAAAGCAAAAGAGACCUUGGACAAAAUGAGGGAAUUGCAGGCUACAACUUCAAUGACUAGCAAGGAAAUAUGCGAGCAAGAACUUGGUUACGUACCUGGACACAUCCGCGGUCGUAGUGCAACCAAGAAGCAAGCUGCUGAGGUAGAACGCUGGAGGCAUGAGAUUGAGGACAGCCGAAAAAGAGCAGAUGAAGCAGAAAAACGAGCUGCAGAAGUAACUCAACAAUUCACUGCUCAGCAAGAGUUGAUUAAGACCUUGCAACAGCAACAAACAGA
Molecule: non-coding RNA, 430 nt
Organism: Coffea arabica (coffee)
Lineage: Eukaryota; Viridiplantae; Streptophyta; Magnoliopsida; Gentianales; Rubiaceae
Source: RefSeq, a predicted model, not a curated record